AGUAGUCGAACUUUGAUCCGCCAUGCUGCUUCAACUCACCAAUGACUCUGACUCUGGUGUGGGGUUGGCUGAGUUGUGUUGAUCCUCGUUGAUUCCUGCGGAUCCACCAAAUGAAGGAAAAGACCAUUCUUACUGCGCCAGUUUCUCAAAAUUUCCACAUACUGCUUGAACUGGGUGGAUGCUUGUUGGAGCUUUAACGAGCAUCGCCUCGCAAACUUCUGAAGUUUUGGGUCCUUCCUCCACAAAAUCUGCUCAUUGACUCUUCUUUCAGUUAGUUGUCACAUCCAAGUAGGUUCGCAUCACUUUCGCUUUCGAUUGGCAUUUCGUUGGGAAAUGAAGCGGACAAUCUACUCUCAGUAGCACUGAUCACCGUUGGUGAGGAUUUGACAACUAUUGUCUUCCAUUAUCUUCGAAGGGUCUUUGAACUUGUGCAAAGCUCCUCUGCUGGAUAUAUAAGAGGAUUGGGGUACUCGGUUUCGCCCAUCCUCUUAAGAGUUGAGAAGGCAAAGGUUACUUGGCUUCGCCCGCCUCCUCGAGGUUGUACUUCAUGCAUCGAGCUGGUUACUGGCCUUCGCCUGCUCUUUGCUCACACUUCUGAAGCAUUUGAAGUGUUUGCACUCCUUGCGUUGAGUUAGCUACUGUGAUUCACCUUCUCAAUGCCAUUGAACUUCUGGAAUGCAGGAAGUUUUCACCCCAACUUGGAGUAAUUCUCUGAUAGAUUAGGUCGCCUCUCGGAUUGUACCGUCUUCUCCAUCAACCCUGCCGCCUACUCCACUGAGUAGCAAAGGUACAGCACCGCGUACUGCCUGCUUCGUUCCUUGGUCGUGCACUCUUGCAUGACCCGAAGUCCUUCACUUACGGCUAUCUUGAUGAGAAACUUGUUGACACCGGUCUUACGAAGUUUCUUGGCCUCUGCCCUUCAGCCUUGUCUCGGUACUUGGAGAUUGCCUCUGCAUGCUCCACCUACUCGGCCCCUUUCACGACCAAACGCUCUCCCUCUGUGAGAGCAAGGGAUCAAUGACUUUCACGGAAGUCCCGCCUCUGCGGUACCAUGGCGCUGCCAUGCC
This 1067-nucleotide long non-coding RNA is filed under the name Musa acuminata (dwarf banana). RNAcentral describes it as "long non-coding RNA (MACU_LNC007249)". Lineage: Eukaryota; Viridiplantae; Streptophyta; Magnoliopsida; Zingiberales; Musaceae. The record is from RNAcentral.